RNAcentral lists this ribosomal RNA (488 nucleotides) under Streptomyces olivochromogenes. Its description in RNAcentral is "bacterial SSU rRNA". It matches the Rfam family "Bacterial small subunit ribosomal RNA", at positions 418 to 916 of the family's 1533-position model. Lineage: Bacteria; Bacillati; Actinomycetota; Actinomycetes; Kitasatosporales; Streptomycetaceae. The record is from RNAcentral.
UCGGGUUGUAAACCUCUUUCAGCAGGGAAGAAGCGAAAGUGACGGUACCUGCAGAAGAAGCGCCGGCUAACUACGUGCCAGCAGCCGCGGUAAUACGUAGGGCGCAAGCGUUGUCCGGAAUUAUUGGGCGUAAAGAGCUCGUAGGCGGCUUGUCACGUCGGGUGUGAAAGACCGGGGCUUAACCCCGGUUCUGCAUUCGAUACGGGCUAGCUAGAGUGUGGUAGGGGAGAUCGGAAUUCCUGGUGUAGCGGUGAAAUGCGCAGAUAUCAGGAGGAACACCGGUGGCGAAGGCGGAUCUCUGGGCCAUUACUGACGCUGAGGAGCGAAAGCGUGGGGAGCGAACAGGAUUAGAUACCCUGGUAGUCCACGCCGUAAACGGUGGGAACUAGGUGUUGGCGACAUUCCACGUCGUCGGUGCCGCAGCUAACGCAUUAAGUUCCCCGCCUGGGGAGUACGGCCGCAAGGCUAAAACUCAAAGGAAUUGACGG